GGAGUGGCUCAGCGGUAGAGCGCUCGACCAGCAUGUGCGAGGCUCUGGGUUCAAUCCUCAGCACCA
This 66-nucleotide transfer RNA is filed under the name Marmota monax (woodchuck). RNAcentral describes it as "tRNA.Ala". Lineage: Eukaryota; Metazoa; Chordata; Mammalia; Rodentia; Sciuridae. The record is from RNAcentral.